This 427-nucleotide ribosomal RNA is filed under the name uncultured bacterium. RNAcentral's name for it is "bacterial SSU rRNA". It matches the Rfam family "Bacterial small subunit ribosomal RNA", at positions 355 to 796 of the family's 1533-position model. The record is from RNAcentral.
CCGAGAAUAUUCGACAAUGGGCGAAAGCCUGAUCGAGCGAUACCGCGUGGUGGAUGAAGGCCUUCGGGUCGUAAACACCUUUUAUGAGGGAGGAAGUAAUUGACGUUACCUCAUGAAUAAGGGGCUCCUAACUCUGUGCCAGCAGGAGCGGUAAUACAGAGGCCCCGAGCGUUACCCGGAAUCACUGGGCGUAAAGCGUGUGUAGAUGGUCAUAUUAGUCGUUCGUUAAAACCCAGGGCCUAACCCGGGAAGUGCGGGCGAAACGGUAUGACUCGAGGGUGUGAGAGGUGCAUAGAACUCUAGGUGUAGGGGUGAAAUCCGUUGAUAUCUAGGGGAAUACCGAAAGCGAAGGCAGUGCACUGGCGCAUUCCUGACACUCAAACACGAAAGCGUGGGUAGCGAACGGGAUUAGAUACCCCCGUAGUCC